GUGCUAACGUCCGUCGUGAAGAGGGAAACAACCCAGACCGCCAGCUAAGGUCCCAAAGUCAUGGUUAAGUGGGAAACGAUGUGGGAAGGCACAGACAGCCAGGAUGUUGGCUUAGAAGCAGCCAUCAUUUAAAGAAAGCGUAAUAGCUCACUGGUCGAGUCGGCCUGCGCGGAAGAUGUAACGGGGCUAAACCAUGCACCGAAGCUGCGGCAGCGACGCUUAUGCGUUGUUGGGUAGGGGAGCGUUCUGUAAGCCGUUGAAGGUGUCCUGUGAGGGGUGCUGGAGGUAUCAGAAGUGCGAAUGCUGACAUAAGUAACGAUAAAGCGGGUGAAAAGCCCGCUCGCCGGAAGACCAAGGGUUCCUGUCCAACGUUAAUCGGGGCAGGGUGAGUCGACCCCUAAGGCGAGGCCGAAAGGCGUAGUCGAUGGGAAACAGGUUAAUAUUCCUGUACUUGGUGUUACUGCGAAGGGGGGACGGAGAAGGCUAUGUUAGCCGGGCGACGGUUGUCCCGGUUUAAGCAUGUAGGCGGAACGAUUAGGUAAAUCCGGUCGUUUAUUAACGCUGAGGUGUGAUGACGAGGCACUACGGUGCUGAAGUAACAAAUGCCCUGCUUCCAGGAAAAGCCUCUAAGCAUCAGGUAACACGAAAUCGUACCCCAAACCGACACAGGUGGUCAGGUAGAGAAUACCAAGGCGCUUGAGAGAACUCGGGUGAAGGAACUAGGCAAAAUGGUGCCGUAACUUCGGGAGAAGGCACGCUGAUAUGUAGGUGAAGUCCCUGCGGAUGGAGCUGAAAUCAGUCGAAGAUACCAGCUGGCUGCAACUGUUUAUUAAAAACACAGCACUGUGCAAACACGAAAGUGGACGUAUACGGUGUGACGCCUGCCCGGUGCCGGAAGGUUAAUUGAUGGGGUUAGCGGCAACGCGAAGCUCUUGAUCGAAGCCCCGGUAAACGGCGGCCGUAACUAUAACGGUCCUAAGGUAGCGAAAUUCCUUGUCGGGUAAGUUCCGACCUGCACGAAUGGCGUAAUGAUGGCCAGGCUGUCUCCACCCGAGACUCAGUGAAAUUGAACUCGCUGUGAAGAUGCAGUGUACCCGCGGCAAGACGGAAAGACCCCGUGAACCUUUACUAUAGCUUGACACUGAACACUGGUCCUUGAUGUGUAGGAUAGGUGGGAGGCUUUGAAGCGUGGACGCCAGUCUGCGUGGAGCCAACCUUGAAAUACCACCCUUUAAUGGCUGGUGUUCUAACGUAGACCCGUAAUCCGGGUUGCGGACAGUGUCUGGUGGGUAGUUUGACUGGGGCGGUCUCCUCCCAAAGAGUAACGGAGGAGCACGAAGGUUAGCUAAUCCUGGUCGGACAUCAGGAGGUUAGUGCAAUGGCAUAAGCUAGCUUGACUGCGAGAGUGACGGCUCGAGCAGGUGCGAAAGCAGGUCAUAGUGAUCCGGUGGUUCUGAAUGGAAGGGCCAUCGCUCAACGGAUAAAAGGUACUCCGGGGAUAACAGGCUGAUACCGCCCAAGAGUUCAUAUCGACGGCGGUGUUUGGCACCUCGAUGUCGGCUCAUCACAUCCUGGGGCUGAAGUAGGUCCCAAGGGUAUGGCUGUUCGCCAUUUAAAGUGGUACGCGAGCUGGGUUUAGAACGUCGUGAGACAGUUCGGUCCCUAUCUGCCGUGGGCGCUGGAGAAUUGAGGGGGGCUGCUCCUAGUACGAGAGGACCGGAGUGGACGCAUCACUGGUGUUCGGGUUGUCAUGCCAAUGGCACUGCCCGGUAGCUAAAUGCGGAAGAGAUAAGUGCUGAAAGCAUCUAAGCACGAAACUUGCCCCGAGAUGAGUUCUCCCUGAGACUUUAAGUCUCCUGAAGGAACGUUGAAGACUACGACGUUGAUAGGUCGGGUGUGUAAGCGCAGCGAUGCGUUGAGCUAACCGAUACUAAUGAACCGUGAGGCUUAACCUU
RNAcentral lists this ribosomal RNA (1955 nucleotides) under Enterobacter cloacae. RNAcentral's name for it is "bacterial LSU rRNA". It matches the Rfam family "Bacterial large subunit ribosomal RNA", at positions 995 to 2925 of the family's 2925-position model. The record is from RNAcentral. Lineage: Bacteria; Pseudomonadati; Pseudomonadota; Gammaproteobacteria; Enterobacterales; Enterobacteriaceae.